GCCAGCCCGCUCAGAACUAAGGAAUUGACGGGGCCCGCACAAGCGGAGGAGCAUGUGGUUUAAUCGAUGAUACGCGAGGAACCUUACCUGGGCUCGAACGUAAGAUGACUGUAGGUGAAAGCUUACAUCUCUUCGGAGCAUUUUACGAGGUGCUGCAUGGUUGUCGUCAGCUCGUGCCGUGAGGUGUCGGGUUAAGUCCCAUAACGAGCGCAACCCCUACCUUUAGUUGCCAUCAGGUAAUGCUGGGGACUCUAAAGGAACUGCCUACGCAAGUAGUGAGGAAGGCGGGGAUGACGUCAAAUCAGCACGGCCCUUACGUCCAGGGCUACACACGUGCUACAAUGGCCGAUACAGAGGGCAGCUACCUGGUGACAGGAUGCAAAUCUCCAAAGUCGGUCUCAGUUCGGAUCGGAGUCUGCAACCCGACUCCGUGAAGUUGGAUUCGCUAGUAAUCGCGCAUCAGCCAUGGCGCGGUGAAUACGUUCCCGGGCCUU
This 494-nucleotide ribosomal RNA is filed under the name uncultured Sphingobacteriales bacterium. RNAcentral's name for it is "bacterial SSU rRNA". It matches the Rfam family "Bacterial small subunit ribosomal RNA", at positions 904 to 1382 of the family's 1533-position model. Lineage: Bacteria; Pseudomonadati; Bacteroidota; Sphingobacteriia; Sphingobacteriales. The record is from RNAcentral.